Small nucleolar RNA from Pongo abelii (Sumatran orangutan), 111 nucleotides. The record is from Ensembl. NCBI's taxonomy places the organism in Eukaryota, Metazoa, Chordata, Mammalia, Primates, Hominidae.
AGCCUUUGGUAGUUCGUGAGCAUGAUGAUUGGGUGUUCACGCAUGUGUGUGAGAUGUGCCGCCUUCAAACCUUUUUACAAUGUACAAUGUGAACGCAUUACCUGUCUGACA